Molecule: ribosomal RNA, 253 nt
Filed under: uncultured bacterium
Lineage: Bacteria
Description: partial 16S ribosomal RNA
Rfam family: Bacterial small subunit ribosomal RNA
Source: RNAcentral
UACGUAGGGACCAAGCGUUGUUCGGAUUUACUGGGCGUAAAGGGCGCGUAGGCGGCGCGGUAAGUCACUUGUGAAAUCUCUGAGCUUAACUCAGAACGGCCAAGUGAUACUGCAGUGCUAGAGUGCGGAAGGGGCAACUGGAAUUCUUGGUGUAGCGGUGAAAUGCGUAGAUAUCAAGAGGAACACCUGCGGCGAAGGCGGGUUGCUGGGCCGACACUGACGCUGAGGCGCGAAAGCCAGGGGAGCGAACGGG